GGCACAGACCAGGGGGUGGCGACUGUUUACUAAAAACACAGGGCUCUGCUAAGUCGCAAGACGACGUAUAGGGUCUGACGCCUGCCCGGUGCCUGAAGGUUAAGGGGAGCGGUGAGAGCUGCGAACCGAAGCCCAGGUAAACGGCGGCCGUAACUAUAACGGUCCUAAGGUAGCGAAAUUCCUUGUCGGGUAAGUUCCGACCUGCACGAAUGGCGUAACGACUUCCCCACUGUCUCCAACGUAGACUCAGCGAAAUUGAAUUGCCCGUGAAGAUGCGGGCUCCCUGCGGUCAGACGGAAAGACCCCGUGCACCUUUACUACAGCUUUGCAGUGGUAUUAUGGGUUACAUGUGUAGGAUAGGCGGGAGACGUCGAACCAAUGCCGCCAGGUGUUGGGGAGUCACCCUUGAAAUACCGCCCUUGUGAUCUGUGAUAUCUAACCCGAACUCGGGGACCCUGCAUGGUGGGUAGUUUGACUGGGGCGGUCGCCUCCUAAAGAGUAACGGAGGCGCGCGAUGGUGGGCUCAGGUUGGUCGGAAAUCAACCGUCGAGUGUAAUGGCAUAAGCCCGCCUGACUGCGAGACUGACACGUCGAGCAGAGACGAAAGUCGGCCAUAGUGAUCCGGUGGUCCCGAGUGGAAGGGCCAUCGCUCAACGGAUAAAAGGUACGCCGGGGAUAACAGGCUGAUCUCCCCCAAGAGUCCACAUCGACGGGGAGGUUUGGCACCUCGAUGUCGGCUCAUCGCAUCCUGGGGCUGGAGCAGGUCCCAAGGGUUUGGCUGUUCGCCAAUUAAAGCGGUACGUGAGCUGGGUUUAGAACGUCGUGAGACAGUUCGGUCCCUAUCUGCCGUGGGUGUACGAGACUUGAGAGGAUUUGCCCCUAGUACGAGAGGACCGGGGUGAACGUACCUCUGGUGUACCGGUUGUUGCGCCAGCAGCACCGCCGGGUAGCUAAGUACGGACGGGAUAACCGCUGAAAGCAUCUAAGCGGGAAA
RNAcentral lists this ribosomal RNA (994 nucleotides) under uncultured alpha proteobacterium HF0010_30A23. Its description in RNAcentral is "bacterial LSU rRNA". It matches the Rfam family "Bacterial large subunit ribosomal RNA", at positions 1778 to 2792 of the family's 2925-position model. The record is from RNAcentral. Lineage: Bacteria; Pseudomonadati; Pseudomonadota; Alphaproteobacteria.